This 279-nucleotide ribosomal RNA is filed under the name uncultured bacterium. RNAcentral's name for it is "partial 16S ribosomal RNA". It matches the Rfam family "Bacterial small subunit ribosomal RNA", at positions 506 to 784 of the family's 1533-position model. The record is from RNAcentral.
UGCCAGCAGCCGCGGUAACACGGGGGGCGCAAGCGUUAUUCGGAAUUAUCGGGCGUAAAGGGCGCGCAGGCGGUCUUGUCCGUCAGGUGUGAAAGCUCGGGGCUCAACCCCGGAAGUGCACUUGAAACAGCAAGACUUGAAUACGGUAGAGGAGAGAGGAAUUCCUGGUGUAGAGGUGAAAUUCGUAGAUAUCAGGAGGAACACCGAUGGCGAAGGCAGUCACCUGGCUCGCAACUGACGCUGAGGCGCGAAAGCGUGGGCAGCAAACAGGAUUAGAUA